GGCAGAGUCCAGGGAGACCUUGCCUCAUGGCCUCAGGCAGCUGCUGCCAGUCACCCCUGCUUCUAAGCAGAGUUGAGCAGCUGCUUCUGUGCCGAGGGAAGCGUCUGCCUAGCACGGUCGGGGACGGUGGGGGCUGUGCACUUUGAAGAAAGAUGGUACCCUGGUGCCUGAUGCGCUGCUGCCGUCUGGAUUCCGGAUCCUGAGCCAGCUGCAGCCCUCUCUCUCUCUCUCAAACCCUGGACAGGGCUCCUGGGGUGGCUUUUCCCAUCCUUGUUAGGACCGCCAAGGCUCAGUCCCAGCCUUUAGCACUUCCUCUCUUGUUUUUCCCUCGGAUCCUCCCUCAAGCAUCCCCCAGAGGACGUACAGAGACAGGCAUUUGCUAAGAGCUGGGGCUGGGACUUCGACUAGCCUCUGCUCCACAUUUCUGGCUCAUUUUCAAUGAUGCUGUAAUACCUGUUCUCAGAGAAAAGAGACACUGGCACAUUUGGGAAUCAUCUUCCUGCCCGGUCUUCCCUGCCUCUGUCAUUAUGUAGGUAUGCUGGGGUAAGGACUGUAGAACAGAUUCUUAACUUCUUGGACAACACUUCUCAAAAGAUGUACCCUAGGGGCUGGAGAGAUGGCUCUUCUCUGUGGUUAAGGCCACUUGCUGCUCUUACAGAGGACCCAGGUUUAGCUCCCAGCACCCACAUGAUGUAACUCCAGUUCCAGGGCAUCCUAUGCCCUCUUCUGGCCUCCAGAGACAUCAAGCACAUGCAUGGUACACAUACAUUUAUGCAAGAAAUAACUCAGACACACAUUUAAGAAGAAGAUGCAGCCUAAUUCUUCCCUUCUUGAGCAUAGGUGAGUCUUAAUGAUAGUUUCCAAUGAAUAGGAUGUUACAGAAAUGAUACGUUAAUUUUGAGGCCAUAAAAGACAUAGAUAUUGCUGUUAUGUGAUGGGGUCUUUCCAUCAACUCCUGGAGAGACCCACCCAGGCACAGAGAAUCCCUGCCCACAGGCAAUGAGUGACCAUCUUGGAACAAGAUAAUAAGCUUUCAGAUGACUACAAUCAGAGCCAAAACUUUGUGGUCUUGGGAGAGAUCUUCAGCCACAGUCUCUCAGCUCAGCUACUCCCAGAGUCCCAAGCCACAAAAUCUAGCUAAUAAAUGUCUGUCUUAAACCACUAGCCUUUGAGGCUAAAUUACCACGCAGCAGUAGCUAACUGAUAGGAUUUGUACUCUUGAAUGUAUAUAGACAAGGAAAGAGUGGGAUGGUUCUCCCAAGAAAGGGCUCUUCCAUUCCAGAGAAGAAAGGAGAGCUUGGCUCCCCAAUGGGGGUGCUGUCGCUGUGUCUGUCCCCAGAUGGGUACAUUUGAACCUGGUUCCUGGUGUAAUUGUAUGAGGAGGUGGAGGCUUAGGGGGUUGCAGGUCCUUAGGGUGGAGCCCAAUGAACGGGAUCAGUGCACUUACAAAAGGAACCCAGAAGAGCUCUCUAGUCCUCUAGAGGAGGAAAGAAGUGGACAGCCUGCAUCCCAGAAGAGGGCCCUGCCUGUUCUGGACCUUGUCAUCGCUGCUUCUCCUUGCUGUGAUAAAGUAGUGACCGAAGCAGCUUGAGGAUGGCCUUGUUUGGGUCACAGUUCCGCAGGGGCCAUACAUACCCCAUCAUGAAGGGGAAAAUGGGACAGCAGGCGGGGAAGGCGUGGUGGCAGCGCCGAAGGCUGGCUCGUCACAUUGCAUCCACACUCAGGAAGCAGAGCCUGAAGAGGAAGCAGGGCUGAGAUACAAAACUUCAAGCCCUGGCCUGGGUGGCCCACUUCCCCGAGGCUCCACAACUUUCCCAAAGAGUGCUGCUGGCUGUAGACCAGGUGUUUGUCACGUGAUACCUUUACCCUCGAGGGCUUGGCAGCCUUCCCACUGGUAAGAACUAAAUGUUUCUUGUGUGUAAGCCACUGACCCUACGGCAUUUUGUCACAGCAGCACAAACUAAGAUGGUUGACUAUGCCCAUCUUGGGGUCUCACGGUUUCCAGACUUCUCCGUAACUCUCAGGCUGCCCUAGAUGAAUUGUGGGCACGGUUGUUCAGCCCAACUUUAAGUAGCCUCAGAUUAAUUUGUUUAAUCCUCACAACCACCCUGUAAGAUACUCAUAUUAUCCCAGCUCUGUGAGUGAAGAAACCUAGGUACUGAGCGGUUCAGCAACUCUUCAGGCAGACACUUUCCUAAAGGGAAAAAGGCCCUGGGCACAGACAAAGGCUCACUGCGUGAUGUGAUUGAUGCAGACAUUAUUUCACUUAAUCCCAAAUACUACCCAGAGAAGAAUAGAUCAUGGCCUUCUCUUUUAAAGAUAACAAAAGUGAGGCCUGAGGAGGUUACAUGAUUUGCUUGGGUCCCACAGGAAGUGGCUGGUGUGGAUUUCACAGCACCCAGCUCCCUCCUGUUCCCACCAUCCUCUUGCAACUCUCAGCUUCCCGUGUGUGUGUGCCAAAUCCAGAAAAAUCCACAGGGCGCUGGCCAGCUGCCUAAAUGAAAACUGAGGUGACAGUCUUGAAUUCACACGUCCCCAGACACCUGUCAGCAGUUUCCUGCACCCAAGUCCAUGUGCUUCCCUGCCGCCUUAGCUAGAGAGAGGGCAAAGCUGGCUGGGGGGCGGGGCUGGGCAGAGGGUGCUGGGGCAGUGAAGCCAGCCACUGUGAACCCAGAAGCACUUGUUCCUGAACCCUUCUUGAGGACACAUCUGCCCUUAGACCUGGGAUGUCUCAGGAUUCAGAGAUGCCUGAAGAGAAGUCUCAUCUGGCUGUUGGUGGAGAAGCGACCACUCCAGAGGAAGUCUAGCAAGCCCCAGAACAGGCUUAAAUGAGAGGAAUUAUCUGCUUCCUACCAUGUCCACGUGCUCCAUGCAGCCAUGGUACAGCCUCUCUCCAAGCUUUCCUUUCCCCAGCAUAUGACUCACAGACGUCAAGAUGGCUUCCUGUGAGCCAGGAACAGUUAGCUCUCACGAUAGUUCUCUACGGAAACAAUUCAACCCGUGAGACGAGCAAACAUGGCCAUAAUCCAGGGAGAAGACAGCUGUGUGAUUCAGACCUUGAAAGGUUAGGGAUUACCCGGAGAGUGAGUUAGAAAUCUAGGCAGUUCCACCCUGUCUCCUGACCCGCCUGGUGUUCAACUGUUGUGCGCAUUGGACUCUGUUACAGGCUGGGUGAUGGGCAUAGAAUGUUUCUCUUUAGACUUUUGUAACUUUAAAGAUUUUUUGUUGUUAUUGUUUUUGUUUUUCAAGAUAGGGUUUCUCCAUGUAAUAGCUCUGGCUGUUCUGAAACUCACUUUGUAGAUCUGGAUGCCCUCAAACUCACAGAGAUCUGCCUGCCUCUGCCUCCCAAGUGUUGGGAUUAAAGGUGUGGGCCACCACUGCCCAGCAGGUCUAAAGAUUUUUAAAACCAAAAAUUAUAUCCACUUUUCUAUUUAUCAAAAGGCAACUUUUAAAAAUCCAUAGAGCUGGGCGGUGGUGGCGCACACCUUUAAUCCCAGCACUCAGGAGGCAGAGCCAGGCGGAUCUCUGUGAGUUCAAGACCAGCCUGGUCUACAGAUAGAGUUCCAGGACAGACUCCAAAGCUACACAGAGAAACUCGAAAAAACAAAAACAAAAACAAAAAAUCCAUCGUAAGAGUGGGAUACAAUAUUUUCUAUACAUAUACCCAAUAGAAAACUAAUUUCCAAGGCCAGCAAAUUGGCUCAGCAUAUAAAGUUGCUUGCUGACAGCCUGAUGGCCAACUCUUGAAAACUGUCCCCUAGUCUCUACCUCUGCUCCAAGGCACAUGCACCACCCUUCCACACACAAACAUAAUAAAAACUUAUUUCCAUAACAUGUAAAGAUUUACAGAUUAAUAAGAAAUCUAUAUGGAGGAACACAUGUACAUUAUAUAUACACACAUGUGCACACCUUUAAAAAACUCAGCAUACAAAGAAUAAAAACUCUUGGAGACACCUCACAGAAUGUGCACAGACACAGGAAGUAUGCAGUUUUGUUAGUUAUCAGGAGUACACACAGCAGGAGCACAAUGAGAUGCUGCCAGAGACCUAAAAGAAUGUGAUUAAUAAACAGCAAUACCAAGUUCUGUUAAGGACCCAAGUUGAUACAGGGUUCUCCUACGCUUUUGUGGAAGUGUAUACCGGAAAGUUCUACCAGCACUGAAAAUGCAUAUACCGUAUUCCCCAGCAAUUCUGAUCCUGGGUAUAUAUGACUAAGAAAAAAGAAGAUAUAUUUACCAAGAGAUAUGUACUGAAGUGUGAUGGCAGUGUCAUUGGUGAUAGUCCCAAAUGUCCACAAAUCAACGAACCAUAAACUGUGGUACACGUGUGUGAUAUAAUAUUAUGGAGUAGUGAAAAUGGAGAAACCAUCACUAUACAGGACAUGACAGCCCUGCUGAACUUAAACACAGCAACGAGCAGAAUUCAUUUCGAUGACAGAAGCUGAAGAGCAGUCGCCUUAGGGAAGGGACAGAUGACAGGGAAGGGACCAAGGCAACAGCACCUAUAUUAGAUGGGUUCUGAAAAGGCAUGGAGAUAUAGCUCUUUCUCAUAUAUGCUACACUUACAAAAAUGCUCAAUUUCUAAAGUCUUUGGAAGACGGAAAACAGAAAUAAAAGUAUUUUCAUAUUAUAUAAAUCCCUUGGUUUUGAACACAGUCUAUGCAAAGAACUUCUGUAUACAUGUGCUGGGCAGUCCUUUUGUAAGUUUUAUUUUUUCAGUUACCUGUGUGUCUAUGUGGGGAUAUAUGGAUGAGCACCAGGUACUGGAGGAAGCAAGCAGAGGGUGUAGGAGCCUCUGAGGCUGAAAUUAUCAUCAGUUGUGGAUCAAAGGAUGUGGGUGAUGGGAACCAAACUCAGAUCCUCCUUAAGAACCAAGUGUCUCUCCAAUCCUAGAAUAGCCUUUUAAAAAUUGGGUAUGAUGGAAAAUUCCAAAGCUCCUUUAUGGGGCAACAGUGAGGACAACCUAAGCCAGUACCGAAAAGUAAACAGACACAAAAUCAGUGAGGAAACCAACCUCACAGUAUGUGGAUCCAAAAGCAAAACAAAAAUUGAGUUCCCAAGAAAUCAAACUGGGAAGGUGAAAAUGCGUGUUUUAUAAGAUAAUCAAAGCAGCGUGGCCACAAUGACUGCAGAAGGGGCCUUUUCAGAAAGAAAGCCACGGGUUGCUUCGAGGGGCAAGGAUGAGGGGCAGAAAAGAUGACGGCAUAAUGAAAGGGCACGCCAGUGAAUAGAAGAGAACUCCCUUGGACAUGAAAUGCAAUCAAGUCAAGACCCAUAUUUUAUCUCUGCUGGAGGCAGUCUUAUUUGUUAGUAAAGUGCUGGGAUAAUCAACCAUUGUUCUCCCUGCCAGGACUGUCAAAACAAAUACAAGCUUCUUUGCUCAGUGCUAAAAAUGUCUAGCCUUUGGAGAGCAGCUGGGCAGAAAGCAAUCUUGUUCAAUUUCAGUACAUUUUCCCCGAGUAUUAGGCUGUCCGAAUGCAGCCCACAUCAAAACAUCCCCAGCACCCACUGCAGGGACAAAGCUGUCAGGAGAGCACUUCCCAUCAAACUCAAGCAAGCAAGACACACAAUGCAGUCACGAUAAACUCAUCCACCUCCCAUCAAAAGAAGCAAAGACUUUGAAGCAUACAGAGGCUACCCGAAGAAUCAUUCUUUGAGGUCCCUUUGAUAAACAUAAAUUAUACUGUUUCUAGGCUUGCAAAAUGCUAUGUAUUGAUAAGGUUGGUGGCGGGGGGAGCCUUAGAAGUUAUCUAUGACCUUUUGGCUACCAGUACUGUCAUUGCCUCGGGGACAUCUUCUCCUUGGCAUCUGCAGGAUUAGUUUUCCUGCUAGUAAGUCAGUUAUCAUCAAAACCUGUCUGCGUUGCGGCUUGAUGGUUUGUAUGGGUAGGAGGAAUGCCUGAGAGGGUGCAAGUGGUCAGUUUGGGGAUGCAAGUGUCUAAAAGUUACAAAUCAACCCAGUGACUUUAAACAAUAAGGACAUUGGACUUAACAGUCAGGCGAUGCUGCCAAAAGCUCAGGUCCUUUCUGCUACUGGGCCCUCAUCCAAAGUUCCUUAGUGGUGAUGACAUCCGACAUCACUUCCAGCUGAAAAAGAGCCUAGAACUCAGAACCGUCCUGGGAGCAUCUUCUCAUUAGGAAGGAAAAUCUAUUUGCAGAGGGCCUCUCAGCAGACUGAUCCCCAUCAGGAUCAGAAGUGAGUCAUAUGCCUGUGUCUACAGCAAUCACUAUAGAAAGGCAAACAAGGUCACACAAUGAACACUGAAGUAACUCAUUCUUUUUUCUUCCUAUGCUGGGGGUUGAACCUAUGGGCUUGUACAUGCUAGGUAAGUGCUCUAACCCCAAGCCACAUCCUCAGCCCUGAGUUAUUCACAUCUAAACCUUGUGAUGAGGUCCUUUUUCUAUGACUGAGAUGGAGAAGGAAAGGGCACCCAUGUGUGAAUGUUGUCAGCUAGUAAAGGAGAGCAAUGCCGUUUUGCAAGCAGUCGUUUCUGUCUUCUACACAACUAGGAUACAGGAUAAAACAAGUCUGAGUAAAUGGAACCCUGGGCUUCACCGUGGCAUAUGCAAAAUUUCUUCUAGAUUUCAACCGUGGUGGUUAAAAAUUACUCUGACAUUUAUUAGUUUACCGUUUCUACUCUUAUGCAGAGUGAAAUGGUAUCUCUGGUAUCUAAGGACAUGCCCUGCCUCAUGCCCUUAGAAAACUCGUCUUUUAUUCCAACGCCCAGAAUCUCCCAAGUCAGCUCCCACAGCCGUGUGUGCAGUGUGAUCAGCGUCCUGGCCAAGAUGGACAGUGGAGUGUGGCUGGGCCAAUCAGCUUCUCUUCUUGAGAAAUUUGCAAGGCAGCCGAGCCUUGGUGAGCACAUUGAUUUGGAUAAAGUCACGUGGCUAGGAAGACGUGAAGGAAGGUUGUACACCCACGUUUGGCUGUCUCAACAUCUGACGACAUCCUGCUGUUAUUUGGGGAGACAAGACGCUUUGAAGGGGUGGAUCUGGACCCAAUCGUUGCAGUGGUCAUCCAUAUAAACCCUUCAGCUAAGCCUAGAGCCUUACCUGCAUCUGUCUGUCAACAAGAGGAUGAACACCUACAUCAUCUCUGAGGUGUCCCAUGGGUAUAGUCUCAAUGUCCAACUUCAGAAGGUUCUUCACGGCUGAACACAAUGGUCAGCAGAACUCUCAAAACCUGAGUUCUUCUUCCAUUAGAUUUACACCCUACGAGGCUGGAGACUUCAUAGUCUCUGUUCUUUACUGUGUCUCUGUCUAGACCUAGGAUGCAGAGAUUUGUUUGCUGAGUGAACAAAUGGAUAAACAGGUCAAAUCAGCCUUAGCUUAAACUGCAGAGAGAACUCCAGCCUCACGGUCCAGUCUAGCCCUCAGGGGAGAUCCACAGGGAAGCUCAGAUGGGGGUUCCUUCCUGCAGCCUUCUUGGGUCUCCAUUCUGGAACUCCUGGAAGUCAGCCACCCCUACCCGCAUGGCUGUAAAAACAAUGUGUAGUCUAAAUGGGUUUUGUGGAGAAGAAACUAAGUUUCUUUAAAUAACAAACAAGACAGUACCUGGAGAGAUGAUGGCUCAGCAGGUAAGAGCACUUGUUGCUCUUUCUGGGAGCUGAAGUUGGGUUUCUAAGACCAACAUCCUGCAACUCCAAAUUGCCUACAACUCCAGUUCAAGGGGAUCUGAUGCCCUCUUCUGACCUCUGAGAGAACCUGAACAUAUCACACACACAUACACACACACACACACACACACACACACACACACACACCACUAUAUAUGAUAUAUAUCAUAUAUAGUAUACUAUAUAGUAUAUAUAUGAUAUAUAGUAUACUAUAUAUGAUAUAUAUCUCAUAUAUAUAUAUCCUCUAUUAAAAAUAAAACAUUCUGGGCAUGGUGGUGAAUGCCUUUAAUUCCAACAUUUGGGAGGCAGAGGCAGGUGGAUCUCUAUCAGCUCAAAACCAACCUGGUCUACAAAGUGAGUUCCAGGACAGCCAGGGCUGUUAUACAGAGAAACCAUGUCUUGAAAAAACAAAAAUAAACACUAUUAUUUAUGAAACAGGUAGUUUACUAAAUGAAACAUUUUCAGCAUAUAGAUGGUCUUUGAAAUGGACCAGAUAAGUUGCUCGCAUUGAAUGAAAUUGAGAGAUUAUCUGGACCCAUGCGCAUGUGAGGUCUGCAGUUUUCAUGGCCCUGAGCUACUGCACAAGGUUGUUAGUUGUGGCUAACGGAUGUGUACCAAUGCUAGUGCUUAUUUUUGAUAGACAUAUGCUAUCAUUUUCCAUUGUUGCCUAGCAAACUACUACAAAUUUACCAUCUUGAUAGAAUGUAGAUGCAUUACCUUGUACUUUUUGUGGGUCAGGCACUUGGGUAUGCAUUAACUGAAUCUUCUUCUCAGUGUUAGUUGGAGGUAAAUGGCUACCCCUCACUACUGUCUUGUCUGGACUGAGAUUCUGAGGCAGGCAAGCAUCCUGAGACUCCACUUGGCUUGGGCUAUACACACAUCUUUUCUAAUAAUGCACCUAGCAGCCUGAUGGCAAACUGUGACUCUCCCCCCACUUGCAUGGAUCUGCAGGUACACCCUACUCCAAACAAUGGAAUAAGUUUGCCCUACCUUUGAAAAUGAUCAAAAAAUGUCCCUUAUGGAUAGUUUUUAUUCAAAUAUAUUUCAUAACCUCACCAGGUACAGAAGGUGGGGGCUGACUCCACCUAGACUGAUUUGGGGUGCAUGCUCAGCAAGGCAAACUUGAGAAAACUUCUAAGGGAAACCCCUAUUCCUAUGCAUAAUUGGGCAUGCACAUGAUUAAAAUAAGGUGCAUGAUGGGAAGGGACAUUACCAGUGACCAAAGGCUUACAUAAUCCAAGCCUGUCAAUCAAAACAGAGAACCACCUAUUUUACACUCUUCAGCAAUAAAACUAUGUGUACUCUUGAAUUCUGUAAAAUGAAACCCUGAACAAUGUUGGGACCCUUGAGCACUGUCACUCACAUGUUCCCCAGUCAUGCGUGAUAAUGCAUUUCUUCUUCAUCUACACCUCAGCUUUGAUUGUUCUGGUCUGGCUGCUUUGCCCUUGGUGUGUACCUAGAACCCGGAAACCCCCAGCCUAGACUUCGACCACCAGUAACAGUUCCUUGUCCAAGUUCACAGCCCUGGGUAGACUGAACAUUGGAGCUGUAGGAUUGAGGUCCAUGCUUUCUUGCUGGCUGUUGGCUGUGGGUUGUUCUAGCCUUGGCUUGUAUUCCCCUCCAUGCCCCCUCCAAUCUUCUUUUUUAAAUGUGUAUGUGUGGAGGGAGAUAUAUGUAUGUAUGAGUGUGGGUGCCCAUGGCAUCCAGAAGAGGGUGUCAGAUCCCCUGGAGGUUACAGGCAGUUGUGAGGUGGGUACUAGGAACGGAACUCCAGGUCCUCUGCAAGAGCAGCCACUGGGCCAGCUCUUCAGUUCCCUUCCCCCCUCUGCUUUUAACAGCCUGCUCCUCAAAGGCCAGGGCCAGCUUUUCUAUUCCAAAUCUCUCCCUUUAAGGGUUUGCUUGAUUAGCUCGGACCUAUUUGAGAUAAGCUCCUUUUGAUUACUCUGUCCCAAAGAUUUAAUUACAGCGGCUAAAUCCCUUCACCUGUGUCCUCUACUGUCACCUAAUCAUAACAAUGAGAUCCAUUGUCUCCAUAGUGGGGGCAUAUUCCAGGGGAGGAACUCUGUAGAGCUGCACACUGGAAGAAGAAUCUGCAUCACAUUUAAAUGAACUUUGGAAACCUCCCACCCCCACUCUCCUCUGAAAGGCUUUGCGUCUAUUAGAGAAAGCUGAUGUCCAUGUUCUUGUUAGCUUGCCUGUGUACCUAUUUACUCUCUGAAUUCACCUUGAACUUUCAGAACACUGGGCUUGUUCCCUCAUUAAGUUAAAUAAACUCUUGACGUUUUUGUACAAUUUGCAUUUUUUAUGAGUUAUAAUUUUACUUUUUAGAAAUGCCACCCUUUAACAUCAACGUUUUUGUUGUUGUUUUUGAAGACAGGGUUCCUCUGUGAAACAAUCCUGGCUGUCCUGGGACUCACUCUGUAGGCCAGGCUGGCCUCAAACUCAGAGAGAUCUGCCUGCUUCGGCCUCCCGAGUGCUGGGAUUAAAGGCAUGUGCCACCACCACCUGGAAACAUCAACUUUUAUAUGAAUAUUUAUCUCAUAAUUUUUCUUACAAAGAAUGGAUCUGUUGCUUACUUUUUGAUGUGCACAGCUCAGGGCUUUCCCAUAAAUUGCUCCAAAGAAGAAUUUUGCUUAUAGCUCUCGAGCCCUCCUGCUUUUUGCUGCUUGGAAGCGACGAGGAUGCUGGUUUCCACUGGUCUCCUCUUCGACAGCUUGAUGCUGACACCCAGGAACACAUACACACUAUAGUCUUCCAGUUAGAGCGCCUUAAACAAUAGCUCUGCCUCGCCAGCCCUGGAUUAAUUUUCUUUGUUACAAACAAAAGGCAUUAAAGGUUCCUGCUGACAUUUUCUCUUAGAAUGCUGGCAUUACAGGAUUUUGUAACUGGAAUGGGUAUGGAGUUUUUCUACUCUCCACAUUCUAAAUAAUGCCCUUUUGGGGGGCGCUAACAGUGCCUUCAUAGAAACAAGUGUCAAUAAAAUUAGGUGUUGUUAACCUGUGCUGGGCACAGUGCCUGGCCCACUCUGGUCUGUAGUCAAUGUUUCUGUCUUCUCCACAGCCAGAGUGAAGCAGGAAGGGAAAGGGGGCACGAAAGGAGUUCACGGUGUCUCAGCCUCCAUUCUCAGCCAAGCUCUUUGAAGGCAGGGCUAGGUUUCCACAGUGAAGACAGCUCAUGUGCAGCCCACUCAUGAUCGCUUUCCUAAGCAAAGGAAAAUCUUGCUCCUUCCAGAGAAGCAAAUGAAAGCUUAAUACCAGUUAAAUAAUACAUAAUAGUAAGAUCGUUAUCCUGUCUUCUCCCAGUCGGCUAACUUCGUAAUGUGUAAAUGCUUAUGGGGUGUAUGAAAUCAAAGGACAUAAACUGCUCUAAAGGGGGAAGGAACGGAUCUGAUCAGACAGCCUGCCUGUAGCACACAAACCACAGAAACUGCCUUCUGCACACCACACCACCCCCACCCCUUUUCCAUUUAGGAGCCAGGUUAACAGACCGAACAACAUCCUUUCCUGUCCAAGUUUAAAGGUGAGCUUCUGAUCCUUAUACCUAUUUCUCCCACCUCACCUCCCAGCCUGCCCCACGCCUCGCUCUCAGAUAUCCUGGGAAAAGCACAGGCUGCACCUUCACAGCUUUCUCCAAAGCCAUUAGCAAAUAUUGAGCAUGUUUCUGCAAGGUGUUCCCGGGAGAGACAGGAGAUCUACAGGCCUUUCUCUGUUUCUCAUUACUACCUGUGAAGAAUAAGACACCAAGCUGAUGUAGAAAAGGUGUUAAGGAGGGACUGGUGUGGGAGUGGGGAUGGGGAAUGGGUUUUGCAAACUCUAAAAGGCAAUCAAGUGGAGGUAUGCAAAUCUUCCACAUUGCUUCCGAAUUCUUCGUGGUCAUCUGCAGCCAGCUCUAUCGGUUAUGAUCAGGUAAUUUAUUUGUUAGUGUUUCUGCUAAUGGAUAUUUUAGGACCAUCUUCUGCUCUUAUUGUGUCGAGCACCCAUUGACCAGAUCAUUGGCUUAUUGGUUAUCUACUUUGCUGCUAAAUGAUUCUCGAUGAUUGCUUUCUUCCUUACCCGUUCUUAUUCCAGGAGCAGCUUCGAUUGCGCCCCAUUACACUAAUGGAAUUAUUGACAUGGAAAUUGCCAGGCACUGAGCUCAGGAAUUCCAAGACACACAACCACACUGCCUUUCUUCAAGAUGUAGAUGCUCCUGAAUAAUGAGCAGUAAAUAUUGACAUGUUGGUGAAAUUAGUUAAUUGAUGUAAAUCAAAGAGAAAGAACCAGAAACAUCUUCAGGAAGGAAACACAAAAUAUUUUUGCAUAACUGUGUCUACUUUGGUAGAAAUGGCUACAGUGAGCUUUGUGUUUAACAGUUUCCGUUGAAUACUGCUUAGAAACUUUAAACACAGUGGUGUUUCUAUUUAGUGCUGUGAAAAGCUGGGCAGCAGGUAGAAAAGGUAGCCUAGGCUGGCUCCUCCAGUCCGUGUA
This is a long non-coding RNA of Peromyscus californicus insignis, 12079 nucleotides long. RefSeq lists it as uncharacterized. NCBI's taxonomy places the organism in Eukaryota, Metazoa, Chordata, Mammalia, Rodentia, Cricetidae. The record is from RefSeq and is a predicted model, not a curated record. The transcript has 4 exons.